Molecule: long non-coding RNA, 1119 nt
Organism: Empidonax traillii (willow flycatcher)
Lineage: Eukaryota; Metazoa; Chordata; Aves; Passeriformes; Tyrannidae
Exons: 4
Source: RefSeq, a predicted model, not a curated record
UAAAGGCUGAGAGCCGGCUGAGGAGGAAGGCGCAGCAGUGGGAAACAAAACCUCCCGCUCGCAACGAGGGCCUCCACUUUUUGAUAUGGAGGUGUGUGAACAGGUGCACUACAACACAUGAGACCUGUUCGAUGAGAGCCCUUAGAAGAGAGCCCUUAGCAAGAUGGUGUUCAAGAGGAGGGCUUGAAAUGAUGGAAUAACUUGAAUCUGCAUGGGAAAGCUGACAAGAGUUGGUGGAGGCGACCUUAUCCUCAUUAGCAACAUCUUAAAUCACUGAGUGAAUGUCCUUUCUCAUGUUUCUUGCAGAUGCUGGAGAUAAUUCUGAGUCUAUAAAACUUUGCUGGAUAUAGCUCUGUUUGCAGGCUCUCAUUCCAGUUUUGAGGAGUAAGGACAUUCUUGUCCGGUCUUCAGAGUGAUGCAGUUUGGAAAAAACAACAUACCAAAGCAGUUUUCUUCCACGUGGUCCUCCAUCAGCAUAGAUGUCUGCACUAUCUGUGCCCACCAAUUUACCUAGGUAUCACAUUCAGGAAGAGAAGACUGAAAAGAGAAAGUUUUCCUCUUGGGAAAGAGAAUCUUUUUCAACUUACUGAUUGAGAGGACAUUCUUUCCAUUCUAUUUUACUUGUUAUUUCUCCCAAGGCUCGACACAAGCAGAAGAAAUUCUAGAUCACAAAUGCCAAUCGAUCUGCUCAGCAAGGACUGAAAAAAAAGUCACAAGUGCCUUUGCAAUAGAUACCUCUGCAAGCACACAGCAGGAGGACCAACAGCUGGGAGAGAAGUACAUCCAUCAGCAAUGGGCAGGCACUCCACGUUGCUCACUGCCUCCCAAAACCUGCAAUGCAGCAGGGAGCUGUGGCUUCCAUCAGCAGAGGAGCUUUACGUGUGGGGACAUGCAGGGCCCAGCAGUGAUCAUGUUCAAAUCCAGGUGAUAAGUCAGCGAUGCUCCAAGCACCCACCUACAAACACUGCACUCAGCAUGGGAACAACAGGAGGCCGUGGUCAGAGGGAACAGCUGCCUCAGCUCACACAGAUGCUGGAUAUACACACAGCAAUUAAUACAGAAAUAAGGUAUUUAAAAGCCAGUGUGACACAGUUAUGCAAGUUACAAUGAUACAUUUUG